Molecule: long non-coding RNA, 1996 nt
Organism: Condylura cristata (star-nosed mole)
Lineage: Eukaryota; Metazoa; Chordata; Mammalia; Eulipotyphla; Talpidae
Exons: 6
Source: RefSeq, a predicted model, not a curated record
CUUGCCUCCUCUUUGUACUAUGCACUCCUGUUGCCCAGCCCAGGGGCACGGGAACAAAAUCAAGCUAAAGCCGACCAGGCCGAGCCACUGAGGAAUGCUGGGGUUUGGCGUCAGAAGGGAUGGGACCAGAGGGAAGGGUGUGAAGGAGGUCCAUUAGGGGCAGGACACUGCAGGUAAAGAAGGGGAAGAAGAGGCCGAGGAGUCAAGGGCCGGGCUGUGAAGGAGAAUAAAGGAGGUCAAAGAGAGGUCAUAUCUUCGUACCUCACUUCCUGACACAAACAAGUUUUCACUGUUGUCAGCAACAAAGCCCUAAUAUAGCUGCGGAAGAGAAAAACUGCAUUGCAUUUUACCUCCUGUGAGCCUCAUCAACAGUUACCGGAGGAAUGUAAUUCCAGAGAGCUUUAAAGCUGGUGAUGCUGGUAAUUAUGUAUCAAAUGCCUGAUUCUACUUCUGUUAUUAUUGUUUUGUCAUUUCUUUUUUACCCCAGAGCUGGCUGAACUUGCUGAGGGACAAAUCCGGUUUUUCUUUCUGACUCUGUAAAAUUUAAUCAGACCUGAUAGAAGACUCUUUGCUCUUGGGGGGAAAUAAGUAGGAGCCACGAAAUGUCAUUUUAAACAGAGCGUGGGUUUUGUGACUGUAGGGAAGGAUUUAAGGACGCUCCUUCUGCCGGGUUUCCUAUGUAAUGAGCAAAGGCUACGCGCACGCACAGACGCCAGCAGCCCCCGGAUGCUGUGGCUCCCUUAUCUGGGCUUCUGCAGCGCCAGAAGCCCCUUCGGGAUGCCGCGAGGGGCUCUCGGUGGGUGGUGGUUCGAACGCUGCGGCCGCCGCUAGUCCAGCCGCUGCUGCUGUUGUUGCUGCUGCAGUCACGUGGGAGCCCCUUUAAGUUUCCAUAGAGAGGCCUCUCCGGUGUCACAUGAUGGACAUGAUAUAAUGAAACAACAUUGUGGAGAGGAAAGCAUUAGGGGAGCCCACGGCUACAAAAACAAGUGAGUGAGAAGAGGUGGGAGGAAGAGAAACUACGCCACCUCCCCUGCAGCCCAGUCGCGCGCAGCAGCCGGAGAGGAGAAGUGGGUGACGCCGCCGGGGGGCUGGGAGACGGGGUCCUCAGCCCCGGCUAGGGGACCCCGCCGCCCACCGCCAGAGAACAACUUUUAGCCGGCAGCCGCAGCCGGCGCUGCACCUGUCUCCGGAGCUUCCAUCGCUCCUCGCGAUAACCAAAGGGAAAUUCUAGAAGAAUAUGCUCUACAAAUAUACAUGCGCAUCAUUUUCCCCUUUGCGGCUCGCUCUGGAGGAAGGAACGAGAAAGGGAUUUAAGCGGCAGCGUGUGAUCAGCGCCAAGCACCACCAAGCCUCCCUGGAGCGGUUCUCCUGCUGCUCUUGGAUUGCGGGAUGAAGCCAUUGUCCACAUGCGUUUUCAGGGGAUUUCUUAACUGGGUAGGAGCGUCUGAACAUUUUACCAUCUGGACUUUCUCCACCUCACUGCUCUAAGCUUGAACCUGCCAGUUUAUGGGAGAUGGCUGAGAACAGCACUCGGUCUGCUGAGCAGGUUGCAGAGACUUCUGCCUCUAAGAAGUCAGGAGGACGGACUUCGUGGGAGCGAAGGUGAUGAGUAAGACACGCGAGCUUGGGAAUGACAAGCGGGUGAGCCUUCAUUCGGCCAGGAGUUUCCUAGGCAACCGUGUGUGCAGUCAUUAAAGGAUGAGAAACCAAGAGACUUCUCCUGGCACAUGCUGCUCUUGUGCAGUAGGACUCUGUCCCACCUGCCACCACGGAGCCCACCGCUGUCCCGGGCGUCUGGGAGCUGAUGACUUUCCAGUUCUUCUUCUUCCACCUCCUGUGCUGUUCUGACUUACCUGUCUUUGCUGGUUUCAUCUCCUGCCGACUGACAGCUGUCUAAAGGCAAGUAUAGACGUCUAUUUUCUGUUCAAGUCAGUGAAACCUUUUUAAACUGCUGUCCUCUGGCUUCUGCUGGAGGAAAAUUGGGAUCUAUUGUAGC